GGACCCGUGGUGUAGUGGUAAGCGUUAUUGCCUCUCACCCAGUCGGCCUGGGUUCGAUCCCAGAAGGUCCC
This 71-nucleotide transfer RNA is filed under the name Culex quinquefasciatus (southern house mosquito). It matches the Rfam family "tRNA". Rfam says of the family: Transfer RNA (tRNA) molecules are approximately 80 nucleotides in length. The record is from Rfam by way of RNAcentral. Lineage: Eukaryota; Metazoa; Arthropoda; Insecta; Diptera; Culicidae.